This 253-nucleotide ribosomal RNA is filed under the name uncultured bacterium. RNAcentral describes it as "partial 16S ribosomal RNA". It matches the Rfam family "Bacterial small subunit ribosomal RNA", at positions 524 to 776 of the family's 1533-position model. The record is from RNAcentral.
UACGUAGGGUGCAAGCGUUAAUCGGAAUUACUGGGCGUAAAGCGUGCGCAGGCGGUUUUGUAAGUUUGUCGUGAAAGCCCCGGGCUCAACCUGGGAAUUGCGAUGAAGACUGCAAGGCUUGAAUCUGGCAGAGGGGGGUGGAAUUCCACGUGUAGCAGUGAAAUGCGUAGAGAUGUGGAGGAACACCGAUGGCGAAGGCAGCCCCCUGGGUCAAGAUUGACGCUCAUGCACGAAAGCGUGGGGAGCAAACAGG